This 460-nucleotide ribosomal RNA is filed under the name uncultured bacterium. RNAcentral's name for it is "partial 16S ribosomal RNA". It matches the Rfam family "Bacterial small subunit ribosomal RNA", at positions 338 to 795 of the family's 1533-position model. The record is from RNAcentral.
CCUACGGGCGGCAGCAGUGAGGAAUAUUGGUCAAUGGGCGCGAGCCUGAACCAGCCAAGUAGCGUGAAGGAUGACUGCCCUACGGGUUGUAAACUUCUUUUAUAAAGGAAUAAAGUGAGGCACGUGUGCCUUUUUGUAUGUACCUUAUGAAUAAGGAUCGGCUAACUUCGUGCCAGCAGCCGCGGUAACACGGAGGAACCGAGCGUUAUCCGGCUUUAUUGGGUUUAAAGGGAGCGUAGAUGGGUUGUUAAGUCAGGUGUGAAAGUUUGCGGCUCAACCGUAAAAUUGCAAUUGAUACUGGCAGGCUUGAGUACAGUUGAGGUAGGCGGAAUUCGUGGUGUAGCGGUGAAAUGCUUAGAUAUCACGAAGAACUCCGAUUGCGAAGGCAGCUUACUAAACUGCCACUGACAUUGAUGCUCGAAAGUGUGGGUAUCAAACAGGAUUAGAUACCCUUGUAGUC